This 474-nucleotide ribosomal RNA is filed under the name uncultured bacterium. Its description in RNAcentral is "partial 16S ribosomal RNA". It matches the Rfam family "Bacterial small subunit ribosomal RNA", at positions 28 to 507 of the family's 1533-position model. The record is from RNAcentral.
GAUGAACGCUAGCGGCAGGCCUAACACAUGCAAGUCGAGGGAGGAGCUUUCGGGCUUCGACCGGCGUACGGGUGCGUAACGCGUAUACAAUCUGCCUUUCACAUAGGGAUAGCCCGAAGAAAUUUGGAUUAAUACCUAAUGGUAUAUAGGAGUGGCAUCACAUUUAUAUUAAAGCUGAGGCGGUGAAAGAUGAGUAUGCGUUCUAUUAGCUAGUUGGAGAGGUAACGGCUCCCCAAGGCGACGAUAGAUAGGGGUUCUGAGAGGGAUAUCCCCCACACUGGUACUGAGAUACGGACCAGACUCCUACGGGAGGCAGCAGUGAGGAAUAUUGGACAAUGGUCGGAAGACUGAUCCGGCCAUGCCGCGUGCAGGAAGACGGCCUUAUGGGUUGUAAACUGCUUUUGCAGGGGAAGAAUAAGGACUACGAGUAGUUUGAUGACGGUACUCUGCGAAUAAGCAUCGGCUAACUCCGUG